GGGGUUGUGGCUCAGUGGUAGAGCGUUUGCCUAGCAUGCAUGAGGCACUGGGUUUGAUCCUCAGCACCACA
Molecule: transfer RNA, 71 nt
Filed under: Marmota monax (woodchuck)
Lineage: Eukaryota; Metazoa; Chordata; Mammalia; Rodentia; Sciuridae
Description: tRNA.Ala
Rfam family: tRNA
About the family: Transfer RNA (tRNA) molecules are approximately 80 nucleotides in length. Their secondary structure includes four short double-helical elements and three loops (D, anti-codon, and T loops). Further hydrogen bonds mediate the characteristic L-shaped molecular structure. tRNAs have two regions of fundamental functional importance: the anti-codon, which is responsible for specific mRNA codon recognition, and the 3' end, to which the tRNAs corresponding amino acid is attached (by aminoacyl-tRNA synthetases). tRNAs cope with the degeneracy of the genetic code in two manners: having more than one tRNA (with a specific anti-codon) for a particular amino acid; and 'wobble' base-pairing, i.e. permitting non-standard base-pairing at the 3rd anti-codon position.
Source: RNAcentral